GACGAACCGUACGAACGUUAUUCGGAAUCACUGGGCUUAAAGGGUGCGUAGGCUGCGCAGCAAGUUGGGUGUGAAAUCCCUCGGCUUAACCGAGGAACUGCGCCCAAAACUGCUGUGCUCGAGGGAGAUAGAGGUGAGCGGAACUUAGGGUGGAGCGGUGAAAUGCGUUGAUAUCCUAAGGAACACCGGUGGCGAAAGCGGCUACACUGGAUCUCUUCUGACGCUGAGGCACGAAAGCUAGGGUAGCGAACGGGA
Molecule: ribosomal RNA, 255 nt
Filed under: uncultured bacterium
Lineage: Bacteria
Description: partial 16S ribosomal RNA
Rfam family: Bacterial small subunit ribosomal RNA
Source: RNAcentral